Molecule: non-coding RNA, 366 nt
Organism: Dermacentor andersoni
Lineage: Eukaryota; Metazoa; Arthropoda; Arachnida; Ixodida; Ixodidae
Source: RefSeq, a predicted model, not a curated record
ACAUCGAGACCAAGCGGCUUGUCCGAGAAUAAACACGCGACAACCAUGACAUUUUGGGGGUGGAACGCGCCGUGUAGACCCCUCUGCGUCUACCAAUGGCCACGGAGUAGUGGUUUCGGGGCAUGGCAGGCGAGCAACCUCGAAAGAGGAUGGAGCUACGAAGCAAGUCGAGUCCUGGUCCACCUUUGAAGCACGCGCCGACGGCGUGAUCGGCUCCACUCGUCGUGACGCCCUCAGCGAAUGUGAAGGUCCUUGCGGGUCCGGAAGCAGACGACGUGCUUUCUUCUGAACAAGCAACGCCUGUUGUCAUCAGCCGCGAGUGUCGAGGAAGACAUUCGAAGCAGCGAUAGCGCGAAAUAAAGAAAA